Molecule: transfer RNA, 72 nt
Filed under: Diaphorina citri (Asian citrus psyllid)
Lineage: Eukaryota; Metazoa; Arthropoda; Insecta; Hemiptera; Psyllidae
Rfam family: tRNA
About the family: Transfer RNA (tRNA) molecules are approximately 80 nucleotides in length. Their secondary structure includes four short double-helical elements and three loops (D, anti-codon, and T loops). Further hydrogen bonds mediate the characteristic L-shaped molecular structure. tRNAs have two regions of fundamental functional importance: the anti-codon, which is responsible for specific mRNA codon recognition, and the 3' end, to which the tRNAs corresponding amino acid is attached (by aminoacyl-tRNA synthetases). tRNAs cope with the degeneracy of the genetic code in two manners: having more than one tRNA (with a specific anti-codon) for a particular amino acid; and 'wobble' base-pairing, i.e. permitting non-standard base-pairing at the 3rd anti-codon position.
Source: Rfam by way of RNAcentral
GCUCCCAAGGCGUAGUGGUCACUGCGCUCGCCUUGCACGCGGGAGACCCGGGUUCGAUUCCCGGCGGAAUCA